CCAAUAGCGUAUAUUAAAGUUGUUGCAGUUAAAAAGCUCGUAGUUGAAUUUCGGGAUCAAUUAAUUGGUCGUGCCUAUGAUACGUACUGAUUUUAUUGGUUUCUCCCUUCUGACGAACCAUGAUGUCAUUAAUUUGGUGUCGUGGAGAAUCAGGACUGUUACUUUGAAAAAAUUAGAGUGUUUAAAGCAAGCUAACGCUU
This 200-nucleotide ribosomal RNA is filed under the name uncultured Glomus. RNAcentral's name for it is "partial small subunit ribosomal RNA". It matches the Rfam family "Eukaryotic small subunit ribosomal RNA", at positions 591 to 796 of the family's 1831-position model. Lineage: Eukaryota; Fungi; Glomeromycota; Glomeromycetes; Glomerales; Glomeraceae. The record is from RNAcentral.